Long non-coding RNA from Rhinopithecus roxellana (golden snub-nosed monkey), 2452 nucleotides. RefSeq lists it as uncharacterized. The transcript has 4 exons. NCBI's taxonomy places the organism in Eukaryota, Metazoa, Chordata, Mammalia, Primates, Cercopithecidae. The record is from RefSeq and is a predicted model, not a curated record.
GGUUGUGGCCCUGACCACUUCCUCCUCAGAGGUCAUGGAGCAGAGGGCACCUGCAGAGUGUGUGUGUGGGUGGUGGCUGUUGGGGGAGUUGGGAGGGGGACAUAAGAAUUUUCCCUUCCAAAAGAGGGGUGGGGAACAUAGGGCUGGGGUGGGGUAUCCGGACUAUACUCUGCAAGAGGGAUGACAGCUUCCUGAGUCAACGGAAACUUGGGAGCAAGAAAGCUGCAGAGGAGGCUGCCGGCAGUACAGGAUGCAGGGAGAACCCAGGCCUGGGGUUAAGGCCAGGAGACUCAAUUCCAACUUUACUGUGUGAGUUUAGCAGGACUGUCAUGGGUAGAAGCUGCUGGUGUGUCAUCUACAGCCUUGGAGGACAGGAUUGUGGCUAAACACGAGGAGGUUCCAGAAGUUUCAGUUCAGUAUGAAGAAAAAUUUCAGAACCAUCACAAACAGAAUUACCCAUGCCUGCACCAGCCUCUUCCAUAUCAUUCACGCCUGUCACCUGGCUUGCUACAUGGACGUGCUCAUGAAGGGCUGCUGAAUGACUGACCCACCGAGUACCUGUCACCUGAGGCCCAGCUUUGGCAGUGGUGCUGAGCCCCUUCUCAGAGGCCCUGCUUGGAACUAUGGAGCCAUAGCCACAGCCUUUGGGACUGGAGAGUUCAAACAUCAUUCCUGGUACUCUGCAGAGUCACACAAAGGGAGUCAGCCGCGAGGCCUUAACCUCCUAUCUGUAUAGCGGAUGCAUCAGCCCAGGUGGUACCUAAAGGGCCUUUCAAACUCAGACAGGCUGUGCCAGCUUUACUUGCCCUUCAGAGCUUUGGCUGUGCCAGGGACAGGCAGGAACAGCUGGUAAGUCUCUCAGAAGAAGCAAGAGCCAAAGAAGCUGUGCUUACUGUGACCUCCUCUUCCAGCCUGUGGAAGGGUCAAGCUCUUCCCUGCUUCCUCUACCUCUGGGUAGACGGAAUUCACCCUUGGUCCACUUUGCAAGCUACAAGGUUGACACAGGUGUAGAGAACACAGACUCUCAGAUGCUUAGGGAUCAUCCUGCUCAUCACUUCCCAUAUAGGGAGAAACUGAGACCCAGGGAGCCACAAGGGCUUGCUUGGGGUCACCCAGUAUGUUUGUGGCACCACUAGGACUUACACCCAGGACUAAUGUCUGCCUACCACUUGCUCAGUUACAAGUCUCAGCCGAGGCUCAGGUCUCUCCACCUUGUUAUCCGUCAGCCAGCCCCUUCCUUCUACUGAUAGAGCCAAGCCUCAGUUUCCCUGUUGGAGUGAGGAAAGACAUGAGGGUUUCUAGGUCAGGGGUUGGUGAGGAUUUUUGAUCUGGUAAUAAAGGGAGAGCAAGGAAAGCCAGGAGGUAUCAGACAGAGCAGGGAGUAGAAUCCUCCAGGCUAGGACAGUACUGUUAGGCAGAAAAACCUGUACUCAGGGCACAAGCAAAGCAGGAGCAGAGGGAGGACUAAAGUUCAUUACAAAACUAUUAAAUAUUGUCACAGUUUGGGACCUCUCUGGGUCUCAAGGGGGAAUGAUAAUAAUGUUUAUGGGAUCAUCUAAUCCCACCUGGCUAGGGGGCAGGCAGUGGUAGGAAAGGGGGCCAGAAUUUGAGGGUCCUCCUUCCCCUCUGCUUCACAGUGUCCCCCGAGAAGACUAUCCUUCUAGCUCCAGGUUCCGACCUUCUGGGCUCGGCAGACCCCAAGGGGCAGCUGGUCUCACUACAAGAAACCUGAGAAUUGUCCCCUGGGCCCUAACCCAGCUCCAAGGCCCCUUGGGGGAAGGACAGGAAGGGAGGAGAGGGCCACAGAAGGCAGUAGAUCUCCUCCCUCUUUGGCCCCUCCCAGUUACCCCAAGGGCAGCCCACACUCACCAGCUCUGGGGCCUGCAAGAGCCCUAAGACUAGCGCCUCAAACUUUAAAGCGUCAUCACCUGGGCAUAUUGUUAAAACGCAGCUUCUCUCUUGGCAAGACUGGGCCAGAGCCUGAGAUUCUGCAUUUCUAACAGGUCCCGAGUGAUGCCGAUACUGCGAGUCUGUGGCACACUCUUCGAGCAGCCCUGAGAUUAUCAGCCUCUAACGCCGCGGGGAGGAAGCCGAGGGCCCAGAGAGGUCAAGUCACUUGUCCAUGGCCACACAGCGAACAGCCCCAGACCGAAAGCAGAGGGCACCUGCCACAGACACACGACAUCUCCCCACCCGAGGCAGCGGGAAUCAGCUGCAGUUGCCUGGCCCGGGUGCCGUGUUUGUAAACUCGGCUGCUUGGUGCGGCUCCGGUCGGGGUAAAGGGCGCCUCCCAGCAGAGCCUCCCUCGUCUCUGAGCCGGCCUCUCCAGGUUCUCAGUCCGGUACCCUGGGCAGACCAGAGAGAACCUGGGGCGCCGAGUCCCCUAGGCAGAGCGAUUCCGCACUCCCCUCUCCUCGGAAAGCAAACUUCUCCGCCGGCGCCCUUUACCUUU